CGAAUCAGCGAGGGGCGCCCUCUUUGUUCCCACUGCGUGCUCGUAAGAGGAGAAGCGGAUGGGACGAAUGGCUGAGACGUUUACCCUUAGCACCUGAUCCAGAUAAUGCUGGCGGAGGGACUGCUGUGUUCAACCUUC
This 138-nucleotide non-coding RNA is filed under the name Globisporangium ultimum DAOM BR144. RNAcentral describes it as "Pythium ultimum DAOM BR144 TPP riboswitch aptamer (THI element)". It matches the Rfam family "TPP riboswitch aptamer (THI element)". From Rfam's summary of the family: Vitamin B(1) in its active form thiamin pyrophosphate (TPP) is an essential coenzyme that is synthesised by coupling of pyrimidine and thiazole moieties in bacteria. The previously detected thiamin-regulatory element, thi box was extended, resulting in a new, highly conserved RNA secondary structure, the THI element, which is widely distributed in eubacteria and also occurs in some archaea. RNAcentral also lists the same sequence under 1 other name. Lineage: Eukaryota; Oomycota; Peronosporomycetes; Pythiales; Pythiaceae. The record is from Rfam by way of RNAcentral.